AGCAACCAAACUAGCAAAAUGGAAAAGUGACCUUUAAUUUCAGGGUAUAGCCUAGGCCUAACUGUAAUCUUCAACGCAGAAUAGAAUUCAGCACACUGUUUCAAUAAGGCAAUGAGAGCAGAACAAAAUGAGGCUCAUAAACAUGCAUGGUCUCAGUACAGCUAGCCACCAAAAUAUUUAUCUGGAGAAUAGUUAAGAUAAGGGUUCCUCUCUGUGUGCAUCAAAGCAACACAGACGUCAAGCAGAUGCUCACCCAAGACCAUGCACGCCGCAGGAGUCCUGAAAUAGACAAGCCAUGCAGAGAGAGGAGCUGGCACAGUCUCUGGGCUGCUGCUGCCCGGUGCCAGUUAGCAGACAACAAAUGGUGACUGGGUGACUCACUACUGGAUCUGUCAAGUAAGAAGCGCCAUCCCUGCUGUGAAGUUUGGUGGUGGCAGCAAUAUGCUGUGGAGAUGCUUGUCAUUAGCAAGUCACUGGCCAUCUUGUUCCAUCUGAUGGAAGAAUGGAUGGAGCGAAACACAGAAACGUACUGACAGUGAACUGAAGAACCUGAAGCAUGGGAGCAAGUUUUCCCUUCAGCAAGACAAUGACCCAAACACCAGGCCAAAUCCACAGUCAAAUGGCUCAAAAAAAAUAAAAAAAUAGAUUACAGUUCUACAGUGGCCCA
Molecule: long non-coding RNA, 667 nt
Organism: Anguilla anguilla (European eel)
Lineage: Eukaryota; Metazoa; Chordata; Actinopteri; Anguilliformes; Anguillidae
Exons: 2
Source: RefSeq, a predicted model, not a curated record